AUUGAACGCUGGCGGCAUGCCUUACACAUGCAAGUCGAACGGUAACAGGUCUUCGGAUGCUGACGAGUGGCGAACGGGUGAGUAAUACAUCGGAACGUGCCUAGUAGUGGGGGAUAACUACUCGAAAGAGUGGCUAAUACCGCAUGAGAUCUACGGAUGAAAGCAGGGGAUCGCAAGACCUUGUGCUACUAGAGCGGCCGAUGGCAGAUUAGGUAGUUGGUGGGAUAAAAGCUUACCAAGCCGACGAUCUGUAGGUGGUCUGAGAGGACGAUCAGGCACACUGGGACUGAGACACGGACCAGACUCCUACGGGAGGCAGCAGUGGGGAAUUUUGGACAAUGGGCGCAAGCCUGAUUCAGCAAUGCCGCGUGCAGGAUGAAGGCCUUCGGGUUGUAAACUGCUUUUGUACGGAACGAAAAGCCCCGGGUUAAUACCCUGGGGUCAUGACGGUACCGUAAGAAUAAGCACCGGCUAACUACGUGCCAGCCGCCGCCGUAA
RNAcentral lists this ribosomal RNA (498 nucleotides) under uncultured bacterium. Its description in RNAcentral is "partial 16S ribosomal RNA". It matches the Rfam family "Bacterial small subunit ribosomal RNA", at positions 30 to 523 of the family's 1533-position model. The record is from RNAcentral.